AAUUUUUUGCCCAGCCAAGAUGCUGCUUGGUCCCCCUCAUGAUAUUGAAGAGCAAGACAUGAACAUUUGAGAUAAACACCCCCUGGAAGGUCUCCCCCAUCUCGUGCACACACCCACUUGCGUCAGGGCUGACCCGCUUCAUCCGAGCCCCAGUGAGGGCAAUGGAAAGAUUCCCAGUGAGUGCUGGGGUUUGGCCUGGACCCAAGGUUUUACAGCCUCUCUGGGCUCACUUUACUCAUGAGGCAGAGAAAACACACAGCUCCCGGCAGCAAGAUCCUCCACCCACAGCCAGAGCUCAGGCAGCUCAGCGAGAUGCCUCCUAAAGCCUUUAAACUCACAGAGCUUUAUUCUCCUCCCGCUCCAAGCUGAGGCUUUGUGAUCAUUCCCUGCUCCAUAUGGUCCCUGCCAGACUUAGAAGCACAUGGAUGGCUUCAUUUUCUUCUUCCUGAUAUUAAGAACUGCUGAAGAGGGACCUGUCCAUUAAAUUGGUCAUUGGUAUUCACAGUGGGAAAGGCACUGCUCCUGCAGCAGGUUCGGAAGAGCACAGGUC
This is a long non-coding RNA of Neopelma chrysocephalum (saffron-crested tyrant-manakin), 550 nucleotides long. RefSeq lists it as uncharacterized. Lineage: Eukaryota; Metazoa; Chordata; Aves; Passeriformes; Pipridae. The transcript is spliced from 3 exons. The record is from RefSeq and is a predicted model, not a curated record.